Molecule: ribosomal RNA, 270 nt
Filed under: uncultured bacterium
Lineage: Bacteria
Description: partial 16S ribosomal RNA
Rfam family: Bacterial small subunit ribosomal RNA (bases 30-270)
Source: RNAcentral
UACGGAGGAUCCAAAGCGUUUGAUUACCGGGAUUUAUUGGGUUUAAAGGGUUGCGUAGGCGGUUUAUUAAUGUCAGGGGUGAAAGACGGCAGCUUAACUGUCGCAGGUGCCUUUGAUACUGAUGAACUUGAAUGUACUAGAAGUAGGCGGAAUGUGACAAGUAGCGGUGAAAUGCAUAGAUAUGUCACAGAACACCGAUUGACGAAGGACAGCUUACUAUGGUAUUAUUGACGCUAGAGGCGACGAAAAGCGUUGGGGAAGUCAAACAGG